UAACCCUACGGAAAGAAAUAUUCAAUUACAAAUAUCAAGGGCAUCCAAGGCUGCAUCCCACACUGAGCCUGUCUCUGGGGGCUCGGUGCCACUAGAAACGGAACAUCUUAAAAGCAAGAAUUCUUAGCGCUGAAGAAUGGGAGUGUAAUGUCAAGAAACAAAGAAAUAGCGGUAGGAGAAGCCUGUUGUAGACUGAACGACUCUCUCUACCAAGUACAGUUCCGGACACACAUCUGCGACAUAUACAUAACUACAUAAGAUGAGCGCUGGCACACGUAGGGUCCUAGAGCCUCACAAAGCCGGCUUUCCCCACCCGUGCGGCUGCUGGAUCUGAGCUCCUGGGGAAUCCCACCGGCCUCAGAAGCACCGAUCCGGGGAAUCCCAGCAAACUCCCAUCCAGGGCAGGGUGAAUUCCAGCCACAUGAAUGACACAGGCAAGAUCGUAACAUAGGCUGGAGAGAGCUACAUCCACCGGACAGAGGAGACGGGGAGGCCCUAUGGGAGAGGAUGCUGGUGACCAGGUGUGAAAUUCGAUAGAGCCGCCCAGGGAAAGAAGGAACAGCAAAAAGAAAGAAAGGUAAUGCCGCUAAGGAGCACAAUCAACAGCUACUCACUCGCGUGUCUGUCUCUCUGCCUGAGAGUGGGGCACCGGGAUGGGGAAGGGAAAGGUGGAGGCGGAGGAGAUGAGUGCUGGUUAGGGAGGGUGCCUCUUGCUUCAGUCCUGGCGCCGGUAAAUCAGUGAACCAGACUAUGCAUGACUCCAGCUGAACUCUUCCUCCACCUCCUGAGUGUCACCUAACACUCUCCUCCCCCCUAAACACAUACACACAAAAAGGCAAACAGAACAGCAGCAGUAGCAGCAGCAGCAGCAGCAACAGCAGCAGCAGCAGCAGCAGCAGCAGAGGGCGCAGGCGCGCCCUGGAGUCUUAUCCGAACUCUGAGAAUGGUUGGAGGAAUGAAUUCCUCCUGGUCUGAAGCAUGUGGUGACCAUAAAAAGAGAAUCAGCUCUUGGUGACCAUAAGAAGAGCAACGGCUCAUCAUGAUCCUUCCCCCGUCAAAACAAACAAACAAAACAGUUGUUUUUGUUGUUGUUUUAAAUGGCACUUUCCUCAAAAUAACCUUUGGGAAUCUGUGAGUAUGAGUAUUCUUAUCCCCAUUUUACAGAUGAGGUACAAAUGACUAAUAGCAUCCUACUUCAAGAGCUAGGACUUCAAAAGUCAGCUAGUCCAAACCCUUAAUUUUCCAGAUGAAAGUGAGGCCUAAAUUCAUAGGUGUCAGAAUUUGAAGCCAGGUCCUGUGAUUUCAGAGCUAGUAUUCUUUCCAACUAAUCAAAUUGUCUUAGGACAUAACUAUAGUCCUAGGACAGAGUCCAGAUUUAAUCCCAGGUCCUUUUGACUCCAAAUUCAAUGUUUUUUCCUACGAAACCAUAAUGUUUCUUUUUAUUGUAUGUAUGCAUUUUUUUACAUUUACUUUACUUUUUAAAAUGAAAUAAAAGUUGAGUAUGAAAUUGUACUACCCAGAGAGAAAGCUAGACUUUGAAAGAUGCUAUUAAAAGCAAGAAAUAGUCUACUAGAGUUUACAUUUAGUUAAACAAAAAUAUAUAGAGUACAUAAACCACAUUUCAUUCCAAUACUUAUAUAUUAAAACAAACCAAAUUUUAAAAUUGUUCUCAAUUUCAUGCCAACAAUAAUUCUACAGCUGAACAGCUUUCCAAGUCCUUCCUUCCAUUUCAAAAUAGAUAAUUUUUGUGUAUUUUGUAGGGUCAUAAAUUUGGAGUAGAAAGGGAUCUUCACUUAACAAAUGAAGAAACUAAGGCCCAGAAAAGUUCAAUGCCUUGUUCAGGGACACAUGGCUAAGAAUAUCUGCCACAGGAUUUGCACUCUAGUGUUCUUAAUUCCAAGUUCAUGUAGUUAUCCACUACAUCUCAGUUUUCUAGUUCUGAGCUCCUCAAAAUAGUCAAUGUAUCGUUAUACUAUCAUGUCACCUGCAGAUGGGCAUGACAGACAAGUUCUUGGUAGCACUCAACAAGGAAAAAAAGGAAAAGAUUCUAAACCUGAAGCAGGACUUUGAUCUCACAGCCUCAAAAAAUUAUUUUCCAACAGCCAUUUGCAAACCCAAGUCUUUGUCUAAUCCAUGAAGUUCCCAUUGUCCAGUAAAGUGAUUUUGUUGCAUAACUAUAAACAAUUUCCAAUGGCCUUUCUUCCCAGCAAUCAAUGUUUUCCAUCUUUACUAAGCAGAUAUUUGUCCAUAAAAUGUUUAUAAAACUUCCACCAAUUGCUAUUGGUUCUAGUCAAAAAUCAACAAGCCAGCUCACCUCCAAUAAUAUCAUGGAAUAAGAAUAGAUAAGAUAGGCAAUAAAAUGAAGAUUUAACACUAAGGAGGGAAUAAUGAACAUUUUAAAAUUCUGCUUCCAAAAAAAUGCUUCAAUGCCAGAAAAUUUCACUGUAUAUAUCAUUUAGAUAUGUAUUGUAUGAUAGAUAUCAAAUCAUGUAGUUAACAAUAAAUUCCAGGGGAAAAUAACAUAAAGACAAUUUUCAGAUCCUGCCUGAGACACAUAGAAGUUUUUAUUUUCCACACUGCUUUCUUAUUCCUCUUCUUCCUUACCACCUAACAUCACCUCUUAAAGAAAAAUAACAUUAUUAAUAUUAAUAAUUAAUAUCGAAUCAACACAUGAAAUCAUAUUGCCCAGGGAUAUUUGUAUUUUAAAUGAAGGUCACGGAGAGAAGGCAAUUAUUAAGCCAAAAGGAAUAAAUCUCUAAUGUUAGGAUUUCAAAUAUUAUUGUACCUGAAUAUGGGAAAUAUGUUUGAAAAGAAUGUUCUCACUUCUUUCAUACCAUACAACUAGUAGAGGCUCUUCUGACUCUCUGUUUUCCUAUUUUAAAAAAUCAAUAUUUACAAAGUCACAGUUUAGAGAAUGAGAUAACUAGUAUCUAUAUAGAAACAUACUGGCUUCUACUGGCUUCUGAUGAUUUAUGUGGUCACAAUGAUACUACUAGAAAGAUAAUUAGAAACCACUGUUAAGGAUUAUGAAGACAUGAGCAAGAAAAUCAAGUCACUAGGGGGCACAGGUGAUAUUUUCAUCACUGUUGCUGAUUGAAGAUGAAGGAUUCAGAAAAGAAAGAACAAUUUCAGAAGUGAACAGCUACUUAAAUAGUAACUGAAAGUCAAUUUUGGAUUCCAAAAGCCUCAUUUAAAAUACUGGAAUAGUAUAAGUCUUUUAUUAUAAGAGGUAAUAUGAAAGGUAUUGCUUAGACUCUUGUAAAUCUCAUAAUCAAAA
Long non-coding RNA from Monodelphis domestica (gray short-tailed opossum), 3277 nucleotides. RefSeq lists it as uncharacterized. Lineage: Eukaryota; Metazoa; Chordata; Mammalia; Didelphimorphia; Didelphidae. The record is from RefSeq and is a predicted model, not a curated record.